CAGGACGACGCUGGCGGCGUGCCUAAUACAUGCAAGUCGAACGGUCUUUCUAUGGAAGCUUGCUUCCACUGAGAAGAUAGUGGCGAACGGGUGAGUAACGACGUGGGUAACCUGCCCAUAAGAGGGGGGAUAACAUCCGGAAACGGGUGCUAAUACCGCAUAGUUUUCUUGAUCGCAUGAUCGGAAAGGAAGACGGCCUUUGUGCUGUCGCUUAUGGAUGGACCCGCGGCGUAUUAGUUAGUUGGUGAGGUAACGGCUCGACCAAGACGAUGAUACGUAGCCGACCUGAGAGGGUGAUCGGCCACAUUGGGACUGAGACACGGCCCAAACUCCUACGGGAGGCAGCAGUAGGGAAUCUUCCGCAAUGGACGAAAGUCUGACGGAGCAACGCCGCGUGAGUGAAGAAGGUUUUUCCGGAUCGUAAAACUCUGUUGUCAGAGAAGAACAAGUUGGAGAGUAACUGCUCCAGCCUUGACGGUAUCUGACCAGAAAGCCACGGCUAACUACGUGCCAGCCGCAGC
Molecule: ribosomal RNA, 521 nt
Filed under: uncultured bacterium
Lineage: Bacteria
Description: bacterial SSU rRNA
Rfam family: Bacterial small subunit ribosomal RNA
Source: RNAcentral